GGGCCUCCUCGUCUCCGCGGAGCCCCGUCAAAGCGCUCCCGCCCGGGCUCCCCGCGGAAGCGACGCCCGGACGCCAGGGCCUCGCGGGCCAGGGCGGCAAAAACCGCCCUCCGCCGGCGGAGCGCCCGACGCGGCGCGCGUUGGACCGGCCGCUCCCGCCCAGGAGGGACGAGGCCUGGCCUGGACAGCCCCGCGGGGCACGGGGCUCAGGGGGACCGCUUUGGAGGGGAUGGCCGCGCCCUCUCUACCGCUUGCCUCAGGUGCAUCGCUGUGCAACAGGCAGGCACUUCCCGCCACAUUCGCCUACUCCACGCUGAGGCGGCAUUGCCCCGCCUGACCCGGAAGUCUGCGGCCUCCCCAUUGGCUCAGGAAGAGCAGGAGUUGGGGGGCAAGCGAGUGGGCGAAACUGGGUUACAACUGUUCUUGGAAAAAUUACCCUGGAGAGAAAACUGGAAACUGGAUGAAAAGAACCCCCACAAUAAGGGACAGUCCUGACUGAGGCGGAAGAGGCAGAAAUUCCUUCUGGAGAGAAAAAGCCACCUUCACAAACCACAGACCUUCACAGCCAGUAGGGCAGGAGCCACCCUAAGGAGCCUGAACCCCUGGACCCACCUCCAGGCUCACUCACCACCACAUAAUCCUCCAUCGUAGUGUCCAGCAGCUCAAGGGAACUGAAGAAUGUCACCAGGGAGGGGACAACACCCUGUGCCGCCAUCGGGAUGGGCAUGGUGAUGAGCUCCCAAUCUCAGGAAAGAGUGAGGAGAACUCCACCUGCCUCCAGCGCUCUCCUAGGACUUCCUGUCAUCUGACUGUCAUCAC
This 819-nucleotide long non-coding RNA is filed under the name Equus asinus (donkey). RNAcentral describes it as "lncRNA (ENSEASG00005024933.1)". The record is from RNAcentral. Lineage: Eukaryota; Metazoa; Chordata; Mammalia; Perissodactyla; Equidae.